This 253-nucleotide ribosomal RNA is filed under the name uncultured bacterium. RNAcentral describes it as "partial 16S ribosomal RNA". It matches the Rfam family "Bacterial small subunit ribosomal RNA", at positions 524 to 776 of the family's 1533-position model. The record is from RNAcentral.
UACGUAGGGUGCAAGCGUUAAUCGGAAUAACUGGGCGUAAAGCGUGCGUAGACGGUUAUUUAAGUCGGGUGUGAAAGCCCCGGGCUCAACCUGGGAAUUGCAUUCGAGACUGAAUAGCUAGGGUGCGGAAGAGGGAAGCGGAAUUUCCGGUGUAGCGGUGAAAUGCGUAGAUAUCGGAAGGAACACCAGUGGCGAAAGCGGCUUCCUGGUCCAGCACCGACGUUCAGGCACGAAAGCGUGGGGAGCAAACAGG